UAUUUGUUGACGAAUCAUACACCUGUGGUGGUUUUAAUUCUAAAGAUAUUUUCGUGAACAUGUAUCUCAAACAAGAAGAUCACAAUAAACAAUCUUUAUCAUUAGGUAUUGUUUUCUUAUUCUAAUUUUUAUAAUUAGAUAGAAAUAGUAGUUUUUUUUUCCUUUUACCUAAAUAAUAAACACAUUAUAAUCGAAGAUUAAAAGAUAUAAAUUUAUUUUCUCAAGUCGACAUGAGUUUACCUAACUUGACAACCAAACCCUACAAGGUUCAAAGGACUUAUCAAAACUUGGAACAUCUAAUAAUUCCUUUGUUCCGUCUUUUUUUGAAAAACAAUCAGAUUUUCUCUUGACAUUCCUGAAUAUUAUAAAAUUAAUGAAAAUAUUUUUAUCACAAUAUUAAUAAUUUUUAAUUUAAUAAUGAAUAGAGCCAGCCCAACCAUUAAACGAAUUAGAUUGUCACCUAGGACCUCCGAUUUAUUGUACCCAGUUUUAAUAUUGAUAUAUUUUUACUAUUGUUUUUCUUGAGAAAUUUUUUGUCGAUAAUUUACAAUAUUAAACAAUA
Molecule: small RNA, 562 nt
Filed under: Olea europaea subsp. europaea
Lineage: Eukaryota; Viridiplantae; Streptophyta; Magnoliopsida; Lamiales; Oleaceae
Source: RNAcentral